GCAGAACGCGAAGAACCUUACCAAGGCUUGACAUGCAUCGGAAACACUCAGAGAUGGGUGCCCCCUUUGGGUCGGUGUACAGGUGGUGCAUGGCUGUCGUCAGCUCGUGUCGUGAGAUGUUGGGUUAAGUCCCGCAACGAGCGCAACCCUUGUCCUGUGUUGCCAGCAGGCCCUUGUGGUGCUGGGGACUCACGGGAGACCGCCGGGGUCAACUCGGAGGAAGGUGGGGACGACGUCAAGUCAUCAUGCCCCCUUAUGUCUUGGGCUGCACACGUGCUACAAUGGCCGGUACAAUGAGCUGCGAUACCGUGAGGUGGAGCGAAUCUCAAAAAGCCGGUCUCAGUUCGGAUUGGGGUCUGCAACUCGACCCCAUGAAGUCGGAGUCGCUAGUAAUCGCAGAUCAGCAUUGCUGCGGUGAAUACGUUCCCGGGUCUUGUACACAC
This 443-nucleotide ribosomal RNA is filed under the name uncultured bacterium. RNAcentral describes it as "bacterial SSU rRNA". It matches the Rfam family "Bacterial small subunit ribosomal RNA", at positions 954 to 1390 of the family's 1533-position model. The record is from RNAcentral.